UUUACUGGUGCAGAUUGUUACAAGUGCAGCAUGUGGGCUCUUGUUCAUCACUGGAAAAAACGCAUAGCUAAGGGUGGUGACUAUGUUGAAAAACUGUGCUUUGUAGCUGAGAAUGUGUGCUAUUAAAUAGCAUUAUUAUGUUCUUUGUAUCUGUUCCCAUGGAAAUAAAUAGGAGGCAUUACUUUCAGAGCGGCCUAUGCAUUUUAUACAUAGCAGAAAGUGAAGCUGGAAGAAUGUUUUAGAGGUCAUUUAGUUUUUCCACUGUCCUCAAGACAAAAUCAACUAUCAUCGAAUGAUUCUGAUAGGUAUUUGUCUUACCUGCAGUUUAAACUCAUUAGUCAUGCUCCUGUAGUCAGCUGGCACGCUUUCCAGCAACCUUAAAUACUUGUGGUGUUGCUGUUUCUCCCAUUGGUAGUCUCUGUACUUAAGAGGCUUUCCUAGCAGGCUUUUGGAUGUUCAAACUAUUCUUAAAGUAUGAGGACAAGUGGCAGUUGGGCGAUGUUUCACAGUUUUUCACUAAGAAGAAAAGUAGCAACAUUAAAAUUUGUCACUUUCUGUUUUCAGAUUAUGGUUCCAGGUGUAUUUAUGCAUGUGUUGUUGUGAGAAUGAUGCAUAAUUAGAUUUUCUGUAUUACUAUUUUUAUGGAUAUUGAAAUGAGUAUCUUUAUGGAUAUCUCUGCUUCAGUAUCUUUAAAAGAAGUCUGUGUUUGGCAACAAAAGUUUAAAACUAGACUCCAGUGAGAGGAACAGCAAAAUUUUUUUUUUCUUUCUUGUUUUGGUGUCCUGUCAGAUCGUUAGAGUUCUGCUGGUAAACAGAUCUUUCCAGGAGUGAACUAUCAAGUCUCCCCCGUUCCCUCGGCCAACAGAAAGCCUCUUGUGACAUUCUCAUCCCGAAAUCUGAUAGCUUGAAGCAAUUCUUGAUUUAUUUCCAGAACUCCUAGAACAACACACUCCCACACUUCAAAUCCAUUCCUGUAUCAGGCACAUAAACAUAUGUUGUGAUUGUUGAUGUUGAUGAGCAAGAAUUUUUGUGUUUCACAGGCUAUUUAUGGGCUCAGUGUAAAAUGAUUUUCAUACAGCUGAAGUUGUGUGCAAGAAUAAAACAAUUUGUUUGCAAUUGUACUUUCUGUAUUGGCACAAAUUAUGAUUAACACAGUAACAAUUGUGUUAUUCAGUAUUGUGUGAGCUCUUUUAAGAUUUCCCAAAAAUUUCCUACAGAUUUGGAAAGCAGUGAUAGCAUCCUUGCCAAUAUAUAUCUUAUCUCCUCUUCAGAACCUUCUCCAGUCUCUCAGUGUACUGGAAGACACCUGAAAAACAGAAGGAAAUAGUUUUGUGGAUGGACUAAGUGCCGUUCCUUUACAGUCUCAGACAGUGGGCACAAGUCAGUCCUCUCUUUUCCAUCAGCCCGAGCAGCAGCUGUGUCAUGCCUGGUAGUGCAGCUGCUGUCCUCAAGGAUGACCUGAAGACAGUCUUAAUGGCCUCUGUUGAUCAGUUUUUGUCUUGCCAGUCCAAUGAUUUUUGGUCAGGACUGCUGUUUGUCUUGCCUUAUGCUACUCAGAAUAACUGAUUUGACAUCUGUGCUGCAAGUGUGUCGGGUUUUAACCCAAGAGCAGCUCAGCGCCACACAACCGUUUGCUUACCCCCCACCCACUCCACCUCCCAAGGGGACAGGAGAGAGAACUGGGAAAAAAAGUAAGAAUUGGGAAAAAAAGUAGAACUUGUACAUUGAGAUAAAAAAUACUAAUACCAAAAAGGAAGAGAGAAAUAACAGAAAUGAUAAAAAGAUAUAUACAUAUAUGUCUCUCUACAAAACAAGUGAUGCACAAUGUAAUUCCUCACCACCCGUCAACCAAAGCCCAACCUGUCCUUGAGCAGCAGCAGCUCCCCCCUGGCCAGCUCCCCGCAGUUUUAUGGUUUUUGCACGAUGCCACAUAGUAUGGAAUAUGUCUUUGUCCAGUUUGAGUCAAUUGUCUUGGUUCAGUCCAGCUCCCUGUGCCCCCCCAGCUACUCACUGGCCAGGCAGUGUAAGAAGCUGAAAUGUCCUCAGCUCUGUGCAGCACUGCUUAGCAACAACUAAAACAUUGAUCUGUUAUCAACAUUGUUUUUCUCCUAAAGCCAAAGUAGCAGACAUUAUGAAGAAAAUCAACUUUGUCCCAGCUGGAACCAGGGCAAUGUGGAAGUAAAUGGAGUUAAAGGUUGUAACGUAUAUUUUCCUUAAAUGUUUACCAUCUCUCCCAAAUGUGAUUUCUAGUGAUCUUUUCCUUCUUUCACAAGCAGGACUGAAUGUUGUGGGCAAUUAUGUUACAUCACCCAGGGAGUGAAGUUUUGUUAUUAUUCUUACGAAACUUAGGUUUUUAAUCUAACAGGCAGUUUGUUCAUGUUGCAGUGAUUUCUAGUUUUGUGUCGGCAUCUUCUGUAGUAAUAAAUGCUUCAUGUUGUAUCUUGUUGGCGAAGAUGAAACUUAGUACUGUGAUCUUACACACUGGGCCCAAACCAUGUAAACAACAUGGUACAUAGGAACAGUAAUUCUUGCAAGAAAUCCUCUAGCCUAGAAUACGGAGAAAACUGUCUGGACUAUGUCCUUUUAAAAUAUAUAGACUGUACUUUCUGAGACACACAAAUCAUUGGACUGUUUUUAGAACAUCAUUAGACACAUGUGCCAGUGCAAACACCUCUCUGGUUUAGAGAUAAGGAUAUGGUCUCGGACCAUGUCAAAAGCCUUGCACAAGUCCAGGUAGAUGACAUCAGCUGUCCUUCCUUUGUUCAUUGAUGUCAUCAGUCUAUAAUAGAAGGCUACCAGAUUGAUCAGGCACGAUCUGCCCUUGGUGAAGCCAUACUGGCUGUCUUGGAUUACCUCCUCAUCUCACAUAUGCCUUAACGUCUCUUUGAGGAGGAUCUAUUCCAUGGAGAUGGGCAAUACCACAUGAAGAACAUUCAGGAACUGGCAAAAAUUUCUAGGUGCUGCUUGAUCAUGAGAAUAGAGACAUUUUUAGAGAUGCUGUAGAGACUGCCUAGUAACAAACUUGUACCUUUUAUAAUGGAUCAUUUCAGCCAUUUUGUGGCAGGUUGUGACAAGGUCUGCAGUCACUGCAAAAUCCACUGAAUCCCACAGCAGAUGUGUUACAAACAGGAAAAGAUCUUUCUGAAAUCUACAGUUACCUUGAUAUAAGGACAUCAAGCAUCCCAUCAGGGGUGUGAAAAGACUCCUCAGUCCAGGUUACCUGUGGUUUUGUUGGAGAUGUGCCACUGCCAGAACUGGGAUUUUGGGAAAGAUUUCCAGUCAUGGAGACAUUGAACAAUGAGACAAUGGUGAUGUUCCGACCCAUGACAAGUCAGAGACAUUUUCUGUGAGAUAGUUGAAUCACUAUGGAACUACUCAUCUGGGGGGUUCAGUGACACAUCCAAACCUCUUACUGAAGUGAUGUUGUUAUUUCAGCUUCUGUCACUGUCCUGAACUUGAACUUGCAAAUACGUGGUGUUAUUUCAGCUUCUGUCACUGUCCUGAACUUGAACUUGCAAAUACGUGGUGUUAUUUCAGCUUCUGUCACUGUCCUGAACUUGAACUUGCAAGUACAGGGUUGUCAGGGUCCUUAUGCUUAAGAUGUGUCUCUGCAUUCUGACAUUAUUUGGCAGUAAGUAAUGUCUCUUUUUUUCCUCCAAGAGUGAAGAGGACCAGUUGUUUGGCCUAGGUGGCCAGUAAAGUAGCACUCUUGUGCUGAAGGCAUUGUUUUUUUGGUCAUGAAGUCAUGGUAAAGUCCCCUGAAGAAGAAAGGAAGAGCCAAGCUGGGAGGAAGCAGCAAGGCAAAGUGGGUGAUGUAACUACUAGAAAUGAUUUAGUGAGGAUCACAGCGUUUCCCAGCUUCAUAACUUACAUACUUGAGCUACUGAGUGGCAGCGAAAAACAGACUUGGCGACACCACUGUUGUCAAUUUCUUUAAGACAUGAAGCUCCAAUAUGUCUGUGAAGUGAAAUACGAAAAGAAGAAAACAAGGACAGGAUGCUUUCUGCUUGAUUGACCGACAUCCACACAGCUUGAAAAUAAAGGAAACUCAGCAAAUCCACUUCCUAUUUGAGUCAAACCAUCGUGCUAAAAAUAAAACCAGAGAUAACAGCAACUAUGCUGUAAAAGCAGAAGUAUAGUCUGGAGUGCUAUUUUCUGCUGAAGUACACCAAGUCUUCUCCACUACCUCUUAUAGCUCUGCAUUCAUGAAAACCAUGUUAACCAUGUCUGACAAUUUAGAAAACAAACAACUGUCCCAGCUCAUAGGAAGAAGAAAAUAGUGCUUAACUUUGGGAUAGUAAGAAUUGUUGAAAAAAGAAAGCAAAACAGUGUUAUCCCUACUUUUCCUCCUGGUUUGGAAGAAUGCCAAAUUUGUGUGCUAUGGGAACUUAUAGAAGCUUUAAAUUAUGAAGACUAACGAUAUGUUUUAGCUAUAUACGUGAUUGGGAUUCCACACACUGAUAUAAUGCAUAAGAUUUAUAUUCUAAGUAUAUUUAAUCAUUAUAUCUGGAAGUCUGGGGGGCACUGUUAUGAAAUGAGUAAAGACAAGAUUUUUAAGAGCGUACUAUCUUACUGAAGCUACGCUGUGUGGGGCAGUAGGCACUUUGUUUUUAGUUGUGUUAAAUAUUUGACACUGAAGUGGCUUGCUGUUAAGGGGGCUGGCUGAGAAUAGUGUUGUACUUCGCUAUUGUCAUAUAAGAUCAAGAAAAAGAAAAACUGCUCCUGUAUUUUCUGUGGCUCAUUCUCAAGUACUAUCUAGGUGACAUUAUUUUAAGGAAUGUUCUCAGCAGCCAAAUUACUACAUUUCAGAAGCAAAUCUGACCUCCCAGUUUUAUUUUCUUUUAAAUAUUUUUUUUUAAAAUAUUAUUUUUUCUUAAAAUAUUAUUUUAUUCAACUAAUUUAUCCAGAUCAUAUAUGAUAUCAGUUCUGAAUAGACUGAAGUCACUGUUGUUUAGAAAUCCCUCACAUGGGUUUCUGAGCCUUUUAAUUCUGUGGUAAGAGAGGCAAUGGGUAGUGAAGCUAUGUGGUAGCUGUAUGGAUAGAGAACUGUUAUGCAGGUAUACAGUAUAAGCUCAAACAACAUUAGUGGAGAAAGUCCAAGGAAGGACCCUGGAAAUAAGUCGUGGUUUCAGAUCUUUCUGGGUUGCAACACAGGCUGAAGCUGCUUCAAGAUUGUGUGCUGGAGGAGAGGGUGUGGAAAGUUGUGCAGUCCUCAGGGAGCUCAUGAUUUGGCAGGUGAAUUCCCCCUUUACAGACAUGCUCAUAGCCUGUAGCUCCUGGCAUCUUGCCUGUUUUUCUGGUUACAAAAAGGAGGGGUGAAUUUUUAAGUAUAAAAGUACCUCUGUCUAAGCUCACUUUAGAUAGUUAUUAAGCAGCUGCCACACUUUUUAGCUGGCCUUAAGCCUCAAACCAUGUGACAGACAAACCUUUUUUUCUUCUGAAAACAACCAGUAUAUAUAUUUUUGUUUUUGCGUUUUUAAAGUUUAUUUAUUUAAUAUAAACACUUGCACUACAUAGGAGAUAUUGUUCAGAUACAAGUUAGAGUUUCUUAAAGAGGAGGAGAAAUAUUUAGUGAAAAAUCUAUUUGCCUUUCUCUUUUCAUUUUCUACAUUACAUCUUUCUAAGCUUGUCCAUGCUGAUUAUAGUAUUUCCUCUUUACUUCUUGUAAUGCUUUUAUCUAAUACACACACUCACGUAAACCUUGCUGCAAAUAUAUCUGUCAUGUAGAAUUAAGGAGUUUCCUCUGUCUCUGACAGCUGCUGGAAAACAGUGUUCCUCAAGAGAGGAAUGAAAAAAGGGUAAAGAAAAGGGAUUGUGACCUGACCACAUAUUAAUAAAGAAUCACAGACUAGCUAUAACAAUACAAAAACUCCAGCAGUUACUCCACAUCCACCUCUUUGGGUACUCUUACAUUCAUCCUUCAAUUCAGUUCAUGGAGGCAAAUGUUUCAGGUCAGCUGCUGGAGAUAUACAGACAGAGAAACCUCUCUCUAUAGACUACUGCAUCUAGUAAUUAGAAGAGCAAAGUUCCUUAGGUCUGCAUGAAGCUUAAAAGACUGCAGGCAUCAUCUCAUAGAUGCCUCAAAGCAUCUGAACAUUUGCUUAAAGCGUGAUGUAAAAUAUUCAGUCAGUCGUUUGGAAACAUUAAAUACUUACUAACUGAAUCGUAGGCUAUAAAAGUUGCAACUUAAAUGAGUAGUAAUAUAAAUGAGUUCUGAACAUGGAAGAUAAGUGGUGCAACUUUGAGGGAAAUGACAGUGAAACGACUAUAAUUGUAUCUCAUCUUCCUAGUAACACAGAGAAAUACUGUAUUUUUGUAGACCUGUAGAGAUUAGAGAGAAAUCCAAGGUCUGACUGAUUUAGUGUCGCAUCUGGAAAUAAACUGAAAAGAGUAUAACUAUUGUUAGGACAGUUCAGUGGGAAAAAAAUAAAAGGAUAUAGAUGAUAUAUAGACAUGUUUCAGACUCUCCUUAUGCCAUUGGAAGAAGUCUUUUGGACUCAGUUGGGAACACAGAAACACCAAGUGAAGAAGAAUAGAAGGAUCCUUGUGGUUAUUACAGCCUAACCCAAUGAUCUGAUAAUGAGAUCUCUUCUACGAACAACUGACUCUGGUUUGUUUUGCUUUGUUUCUGCAGUAGACAUAUCUCCUGCAGAAAAAAAACAAAAUCAAAUCUAUUG
This is a long non-coding RNA of Numida meleagris (helmeted guineafowl), 6677 nucleotides long. RefSeq lists it as uncharacterized. Lineage: Eukaryota; Metazoa; Chordata; Aves; Galliformes; Numididae. The record is from RefSeq and is a predicted model, not a curated record. The transcript is spliced from 3 exons.